This 85-nucleotide transfer RNA is filed under the name Felis catus (domestic cat). It matches the Rfam family "tRNA". From Rfam's summary of the family: Transfer RNA (tRNA) molecules are approximately 80 nucleotides in length. The record is from Rfam by way of RNAcentral. Lineage: Eukaryota; Metazoa; Chordata; Mammalia; Carnivora; Felidae.
GCCUGGUUGGCUUAGUCGGUUGUGCAUCCGACUUCAGCUCAGGUCAUGAUCUCACAGUUCGUGGGUUCGAGCCCCGCAUCAGGCU